Long non-coding RNA from Daphnia pulicaria, 946 nucleotides. RefSeq lists it as uncharacterized. The transcript is spliced from 2 exons. The record is from RefSeq and is a predicted model, not a curated record. NCBI's taxonomy places the organism in Eukaryota, Metazoa, Arthropoda, Branchiopoda, Diplostraca, Daphniidae.
GUCGAAAUAACUGGAAUGACUAAGCAGACGAUAUUUUCAAAUUUAGUCAAGGACAUCUAGAGGAGAAAAUAAUCAGUCGGAAACUGAUGGGAGAAAAAUCUAAAAUGACACUAAAUUGUUUGGCAAAUAUUAUACACAUAACAGUAUUUCGGUGUAACAUUUGACUCCAAUCGUUCAUGACCGUUCCGCUUGACGAAUACCUGAGGCUUCCUUAACGGGUUAUUUUCUGCAGGAUGUGUCACACGACAGGGCGUUAACUCUUGGCUAAUAAUAAAAAAAGGAAUCCAUCAUUAUAAAAAUUUCACGAGCAAAUUGAGAGUUUAAUCAUUGGCCGUGAGUUCUUGUCAGUGUGCAUUUACGUUAUUUUCUCUCGGGGGCAUCAUAACACUAGCACUUUUUUGUUCUGAGAAUUUCCUUGGGAUAAAAUGAAGCGGUUAAGCUUCACCACAUUGGUGCAUUUAAAAAGCAAGUGUUAUUGAUCCUUUGUAAGAAUGUCUCGAAGGUUUGUGCGGACACAUAAUGAGCCGAUAGUUAACGGGACUAGUGGGAAACAAUGCCUUAUUCUGAAAGUAAUUAUUAAAGUUCAGCUGAAUUUUCUCAUCGAAUGUCGAACAUUUGUUUCACACGGAAAGACGACCAAAAUUGUUGUCACCUGCCGUUGUUUCCGUUGAAAUAGUUUCCCUCGUUUGAAUGUGGCGCCAAUGGAGCCAAAGCCAUCUAGUGUCGAAUAUCAAAACUUAUGCAAGACCUCUAGCGGUCGUCUGAUCAACGUGGAUUGCAAAAUAAUUUAGAAGUUGUCGCUCGUUCAAUCUCGACGUUGCACAAAAACAAAACAAAAAAUCAAAUGAUGGAGUGUCUUCGUUACAAAAAAGAGUGACGAACCUGUAAUAAGACGCAAGCACUUCCCAAGGUCGUUUUGACAGAUGCUCAAAAAACCAAUAACAAA